GCCUACCAUGCAAGUCGAGCGGUAGAGAGGUGCUUGCACCUCUUGAGAGCGGCGGACGGGUGAGUAAAGCCUAGGAAUCUGCCUGGUAGUGGGGGAUAACGCUCGGAAACGGACGCUAAUACCGCGUACGUCCUACGGGAGAAAGCAGGGGACCUUCGGGCCUUGCGCUAUCAGAUGAGCCUAGGUCGGAUUAGCUAGUUGGUGAGGUAAUGGCUCACCAAGGCGACGAUCCGUAACUGGUCUGAGAGGAUGAUCAGUCACACUGGAACUGAGACACGGUCCAGACUCCUACGGGAGGCAGCAGUGGGGAAUAUUGGACAAUGGGCGAAAGCCUGAUCCAGCCAUGCCGCGUGUGUGAAGAAGGUCUUCGGAUUGUAAAGCACUUUAAGUUGGGAGGAAGGGCAUUAACCUAAUACGUUAGUGUUUUGACGUUACCGACAGAAUAAGCACCGGCUAACUCUGUGCCAGCAGCCGCGGUAAUACAGAGGGUGCAAGCGUUAAUCGGAAUUACUGGGCGUAAAGCGCGCGUAGGUGGUUCGUUAAGUUGGAUGUGAAAUCCCCGGGCUCAACCUGGGAACUGCAUUCAAAACUGUCGAGCUAGAGUAUGGUAGAGGGUGGUGGAAUUUCCUGUGUAGCGGUGAAAUGCGUAGAUAUAGGAAGGAACACCAGU
This 670-nucleotide ribosomal RNA is filed under the name uncultured bacterium. RNAcentral's name for it is "bacterial SSU rRNA". It matches the Rfam family "Bacterial small subunit ribosomal RNA", at positions 46 to 713 of the family's 1533-position model. The record is from RNAcentral.